RNAcentral lists this ribosomal RNA (293 nucleotides) under uncultured bacterium. Its description in RNAcentral is "partial 16S ribosomal RNA". It matches the Rfam family "Archaeal small subunit ribosomal RNA", at positions 455 to 747 of the family's 1478-position model. The record is from RNAcentral.
GUGCCAGCAGCCGCGGUAAUACCGGCAGCUCGAGUGAUGUCCCAUAUUAUUGGGCCUAAAGCGUCCGUAGCUGGCCGGGGAAGUCCGUCGGGAAAUCCACCCGCCCAACGGGUGGGCGUCCGGUGGAAACUGCGUGGCUUGGGACCGGAAGGCGCGACGGGUACGUCCGGGGUAGGAGUGAAAUCCCAUAAUCCCGCACGGACCACCGAUGGCGAAAGCACUUCGAGAAAACGGAUCCGACAGUGAGGGACGAAAGCCAGGGUCUCCAACCGGAUUAGAUACCCGUGUAGUCC